This 460-nucleotide ribosomal RNA is filed under the name uncultured bacterium. Its description in RNAcentral is "partial 16S ribosomal RNA". It matches the Rfam family "Bacterial small subunit ribosomal RNA", at positions 338 to 795 of the family's 1533-position model. The record is from RNAcentral.
CCUACGGGCGGCAGCAGUGAGGAAUAUUGGUCAAUGGACGAGAGUCUGAACCAGCCAAGUAGCGUGAAGGAUGACUGCCCUAUGGGUUGUAAACUUCUUUUAUAUGGGAAUAAAAUGUUCCACGUGUGGGAUUUUGUAUGUACCAUAUGACUACGGAUCGGCUAACUCCGUGCCAGCAGCCGCGGUAAUACGGAGGAUCCGAGCGUUAUCCGGAUUUAUUGGGUUUAAAGGGAGCGUAGGUGGAUUGUUAAGUCAGUUGUGAAAGUUUGCGGCUAAACCGUAAAAUUGCAGUUGAAACUGGCAGUCUGGAGUACAGUAGAGGUGGGCGGAAUUCGUGGUGGAGCGGUGAAAUGCUUAGAUAUCACGAAGAACUCCGAUUGCGAAGGCAGCUCACUGGACUGCAACUGACACUGAGGCUCGAAAGUGUGGGUAUCAAACAGGAUUAGAUACCCUUGUAGUC